Molecule: ribosomal RNA, 329 nt
Filed under: uncultured eukaryote
Lineage: Eukaryota
Description: partial 18S ribosomal RNA
Rfam family: Eukaryotic small subunit ribosomal RNA
Source: RNAcentral
CCCUUAGAUGUUCUGGGCCGCACGCGCGCUACACUGACGAUGGCAACGAGUUUUUCCUUCGCCGAAAGGUGUGGGUAAUAUUUUGAAACAUCGUCGUGCUGGGGAUAGAUCAUUGCAAUUUUUGAUCUUGAACGAGGAAUUCCUAGUAAGCGCGAGUCAUCAGCUCGCGUUGAUUACGUCCCUGCCCUUUGUACACACCGCCCGUCGCUACUACCGAUUGAAUGGUUUAGUGAGGACUCCUGAUUGGCGCCGCCGCCCCGGCAACGGAGCAGCGGACUGCCGAAAAGUUGUUCAAACUUGAUCAUUUAGAGGAAGUAAAAGUCGUAACA